Molecule: ribosomal RNA, 253 nt
Filed under: uncultured bacterium
Lineage: Bacteria
Description: partial 16S ribosomal RNA
Rfam family: Bacterial small subunit ribosomal RNA
Source: RNAcentral
UACGGGUGGGGCAAGCGUUGUUCGGAAUUACUGGGCGUAAAGGGCUCGUAGGCGGCCAACUAAGUCAGACGUGAAAUCCCUCGGCUUAACCGGGGAACCGCGUCUGAUACUGGAUGGCUUGAGUUUGGGAGAGGGAUGCGGAAUUCCAGGUGUAGCGGUGAAAUGCGUAGAUAUCUGGAGGAACACCGGUGGCGAAGGCGGCAUCCUGGACCAAUACUGACACUGAGGAGCGAAAGCCAGGGGAGCAAACGGG